UUAGGCGAACGGGUGAGUAACGCGUGAAUAACCUGACUCAAAGAGGGGGAGUAACAACGGGAAACUGUUGCUAAUACCGCAUGAGACCACAACACCGCAUGAUGAAGGGGUCAAAGAUUUAUCGCUUUGAGAGGGGUUCGCGUCCCAUUAGGUAGUUGGAGGGGUAACGGCCCACCAAGCCAACGAUGGGUAGCCGAGCUGAGAGGCUGAUCGGCCACACUGGAACUGAGACACGGUCCAG
RNAcentral lists this ribosomal RNA (241 nucleotides) under uncultured bacterium. RNAcentral's name for it is "partial 16S ribosomal RNA". It matches the Rfam family "Bacterial small subunit ribosomal RNA", at positions 94 to 334 of the family's 1533-position model. The record is from RNAcentral.